RNAcentral lists this long non-coding RNA (349 nucleotides) under Jatropha curcas. Its description in RNAcentral is "long non-coding RNA (JCUR_LNC001213)". The record is from RNAcentral. Lineage: Eukaryota; Viridiplantae; Streptophyta; Magnoliopsida; Malpighiales; Euphorbiaceae.
UCCAAACCAACUAAUCAAUUAGUUAUAUUAGCCUUUGAGCAUAUUUCAAUGAUAUUAUUAAGUGUUCUAUACCUAGUUACCAAAGAACUAAACAUUUUAUAAUAAAACUUGAUUCGCCAAGUUAAAUACAGGUACUCUCAUUUGAUAGUUUCUAUGUUAUACUUACUCGUCUAAGCCUUAGAUUUUAAUUUCCCCCUAACAAUAUUUUUAUCAAAUUCAUAAGUCAACCAACAUAAUUAUUAACUAAUAUUAAAUUUUCUAAUUAUAACUAAUAUUCAUGAAAUGUAUUUAGCAAUAUUCAAAAUUAAUCGUCUCGUACAAUAUGCUCUUAACUAAUUCCUAAUAAGAA